GGCAUGUGGCUCAAGUGGUAGCGUGCUCGCGUGGCAUGCGCGGGGCUCUGGGUUCGAUCCUCAGCACCA
This 69-nucleotide transfer RNA is filed under the name Marmota monax (woodchuck). RNAcentral's name for it is "tRNA.Ala". Lineage: Eukaryota; Metazoa; Chordata; Mammalia; Rodentia; Sciuridae. The record is from RNAcentral.